RNAcentral lists this ribosomal RNA (391 nucleotides) under uncultured bacterium. RNAcentral describes it as "partial 16S ribosomal RNA". It matches the Rfam family "Bacterial small subunit ribosomal RNA", at positions 523 to 918 of the family's 1533-position model. The record is from RNAcentral.
AUACGUAUGGAGCAAGCGUUAUCCGGAUUCAUUGGGCGUAAAGCGCGCGUAGGCGGUUUGUUAGGUCGGGAGUCAAAUUCAGGGGCUCAACCCCUGCCCGCUCCCGAUACCGGCAGACUUGAGUUUGGUAGGGGAAGGUGGAAUUCCCAGUGUAGCGGUGGAAUGCGCAGAUAUUGGGAAGAACACCGGUGGCGAAGGCGGCCUUCUGGGCCAUAACUGACGCUGAGGCGCGAAAGCUAGGGGAGCGAACAGGAUUAGAUACCCUGGUAGUCCUAGCCGUAAACGAUGGACACUAGGUGUGGGGGGUCACCCUCCGUGCCGCAGCUAACGCAUUAAGUGUCCCGCCUGGGGAGUACGGCCGCAAGGCUAAAACUCAAAGGAAUUGACGGGG